RNAcentral lists this ribosomal RNA (253 nucleotides) under uncultured bacterium. RNAcentral's name for it is "partial 16S ribosomal RNA". It matches the Rfam family "Bacterial small subunit ribosomal RNA", at positions 524 to 776 of the family's 1533-position model. The record is from RNAcentral.
UACGGAGGGUGCAAGCGUUGCUCGGAAUUAUUGGGCGUAAAGGGUAGGUAGGUGGUCUCAUUUGUCUGGGGUGAAAGCCUUGAGCUUAACUCAAGAAGUGCCCCAGAAACGGUGAGACUAGAGUCUUGGAGAGGGUCGUGGAAUUCCCGGUGUAGCGGUGAAAUGCGUAGAGAUCUGGAGGAAUACCGGUGGCGAAGGCGGCCCCCUGGACAAAGACUGACGCUCAGGUGCGAAAGCGUGGGGAGCAAACAGG